Long non-coding RNA from Gossypium arboreum, 433 nucleotides. RefSeq lists it as uncharacterized. Lineage: Eukaryota; Viridiplantae; Streptophyta; Magnoliopsida; Malvales; Malvaceae. The transcript has 2 exons. The record is from RefSeq and is a predicted model, not a curated record.
GAGGACAAGCAAUAAUUUAGGUUUGGGGGUGGGAUAACUCUUGAAAAGAGAUGCAGGUAGGAUGAAAGAAAAGAGAAGCAAGAAAAGAGAAAAAGGAAAAUAGAAAGAAGGAUGUGAAACAUUGCAAUGGUAAAUGGUGGGACAAAUUGCCAAUAGAAAUGCCAUGGCAAUUCAAGGAAGAUGACGAAGGACUCAAUCCAUGUCACCCUUACCCAACUAUACGUGUACCAGAUAAAUCACCCUAAAAAGAAGAGUAAAAACUAUGUGCUAAGAGGGAUGGAUCUACCCUAUAAAAGGAGGAGAGAGAAGAGAAGAAAAACACACACGGAUUGUGAGGAGAAAAAUAAAAAAAGGGAGUAGUUACUCUCUCUGCAACAGAAUCUGGUGGAGUAAUUCUGAAGAGAAGAAGAAGGGGUAGCUAAAGAAUGGAGAC